Macaca mulatta (Rhesus monkey) is the source of this 329-nucleotide non-coding RNA. The record is from RefSeq and is a predicted model, not a curated record. Lineage: Eukaryota; Metazoa; Chordata; Mammalia; Primates; Cercopithecidae.
CUACAGGUCUCACUUCAAUCAAAAGGAAAGGAUCAUACAAGGACAUGAAUACCAAAAAUUUGGGACAUGGGAACCAUCAAAUGUCUGCCAUGCUUAGGCUACAGACACGAAUCUUAGAACUCUUAUCAAUACGCCAGGGAUUCAGUCUAGGUUCUGAUGCUCACUGCACCAUCAUUGAGAUGAAGAAUAUUGCCAGAUGUGGAACCUGCAGAAGCAGGGGGCUGACUUAAGAGAUAAGGAUCUGCAGACUCUGACAUCCAUGCCUACAUCACCAGGACUUGAAGGACAGCAGCACAUCUUCAGUGAGUACCUACUAUGAGGUAAUCACU